GCAGUAUCAACUGCUUACAGGGUUAGAAGUUUGCUUUCCAAUCAGACAUGAACGUUAGGCUUCAGUAAAUCUACUGUACCGAAUCUGUGAAGCACCACUUUUCAAAUAUAAGGCACUAUUGAAAUAUUUCUACUGAAAGAAAAUUCUGUAACUUCAAAAAUGGCAGUCUUCCAGAAAUGGAAAUACACUGAUCAACAGGAAACCUAAGGUCCAAAAUUGCAAAGGGUUGUGGCUACAGAUUUAGAUAGGAAUGAAGCAUACUGUCUGGAGAUCCAUGGAAUUCCUACCAAGAAGGAUGAAACUUUAUGCCAAGCUGCUUCAAGGAGAAGAUUGUGAGAAUGAGACAGUCCUUAUAAAAAUGAACAUGAUCUGACAGCAGAGGUGAGAUGAUACCAAAAGAAGCAGGGAUUGAAUCCUGUAGGGGUUUGCACCCCUUGAAGAUUCAGAGGAGAGAUCAAAUCAGAUACAGAGGUGCUUUGCUGCCUGUGUGCCAAGGAUAAGGAAGCUAAACAAUAAUAUCCCAGCAGUUUCCAGGACUAUGCCCGUGAGCAUCACCUCGCAGCCCUGGUCCCUCGACGCACAUGGACCUCACUGGCCUGGAUUGUGCCAUUUGCUGAAGGCAAGAGCCUCACAGAGCUGCCAAGGGGACUCUGCAGGGUGGCUUUGCUGGGUACGUGUGCCCCAGGGCAGCGCUUCAGCGUGCUGAGCCUCUCAUCUGAGGGCUGAAAGGCAGCAGAGAGCAUAAUCUGUUUUAAUGGAUCCUUCUGCUGCUGUUGAAUAGCUCCCUGGUUUGGAUUACUUCUGCUGCAGGCACGAUUAGUCAGCAUCUGACAGGGCAGGGGGUCUCAGCGGGGAGUCCACAGCUAGCUAAGAAUAGGAGCCAAACAUUAUUUUCCGGCUUGUUUGGGAGAAAAACCUGAAGAGUGCAGAAAGUUUGUCCCUCGUUGUUUUCCCGGGUAGGGGAGCAGUCUCAGAGGUGAUGAGACAAACACUUGAGGAUGGCUGAUAGCACUGGAGUGCAGAGUAAACAAGAAGAUGGUACUGGAUCCCAGGGCAUGGAAAAGCAUUGGGAAAAAAGCUUACUGAAAUCAUGUGAAGUCAUGAAACAACUGAAGGGAUGCAAAAAUGGUUCUCACCUCUUUCCACCUGAAAGAACUGGGCAUGUUGAGAAAAUGCUCGCUCAGUGCUUGCCUUUGAAUAAUGAAAUAAAACAUAAUGGUCAGUAAAGUUAAGCUCUUAAGAGUAAAUCAGUUCUGUUCUCACCGGAAGGCAGCCUGGAUUGUCCUGAAACACUGAAGCCAUCUGCAGUUCCCACAUCGAUUUUCUUCUCCAUGGCACUGAGCAUACAAAGCCAGCAGGCGCCUUUGAGUGCUCUCUCAGCCGCACGGAGAAAACAGAUAAAGCCCUCUGGGCCUCCUGCAUGUUCAUGUGCAGCUUCACCUGCGUGACACCUGGCUGUGCCCAGCGCAGGAAUCAGCACAGCAAGCUGGGAAGUCUGCUGAAUUGGCAUAUUUGUGUGGAGGGGGAAAUGCUGCCAGGGAACUGUGACCUGCCUCUUCUCUGCAAUGCACCGGCAUGCAGCAUCCCAACAGGAGCAGCAUUGUUUUGUGCCAAGUGCCUCAGAGACAGAGGAGACUGUGCCCAAUUCGGUGGAAAUAAAAAGCAACCUCCUAUUUUUGUUAUUUGCUGCCAUAGUGAAAACUGUGCUUCCCCUGAUCCAUCAGAAAAUACUGUUUUCACUUUUCAGGCAAUCAUAGUUUGGGCCUUUUCAAAUGAAAAUACCUGGUUAAGUGCCCCAGAACAGAGGCAGCUUUCUGCACUGUGCCUGAUGUGCCACUGCCCAGAUGAUGGUUGCACAAGGAGCAGCUCCCAUGCCUCCAGCUGCUGGAAAACUCCAUUCUCCAUCAAGCCAAGUGGCUAAGCAGCACAUGUCAGUUCCUACGAAGUGAGAACAGCAUCAAAUAAGGUGAGGUCCCCCUAUUGAUAACCAGCAAGUGAGUGUAUAUUUAGAAACUUACCAAGAAAAGAAAAAUCCAAAUAAAAACCUGCGAGCUUAAGAAGAGACAAAAAGAGCCUUUGAUGUUUCCGGGCUCAUGUGAACUCUCAAGUCAGGGUGUAAGCCCUCAUCAUAGAACUCAGAGUCAUGGCAGUGCUCUCUCCUUGCAUUCAGCAUAGCUGCAACUGGUUGCAGUGUACAUAGCAGGAAGCAAGGCUGCACGACCUGCCUGCCCUGCACUGUAUCUGCAUGCCCUGCAAAGCCAGUCCUUCUGCACAGGGUACGGAACCCAUCCCCUGGCCCCACGAAGCAGAAGACUGGGUGUCCUCAUCACUCCUGAUAAUGCUCAGCAUGGGAACGGCACUACUGCUGCUCUGCUGCAGCCCUGUGUCCUGCAGAAAGCUACAAAUGUCAGAGGAAGAUGAUGGAGUAUGAAUUCAAAGAGCACGGAGCUCCUGCGGCUGGAAUGUGAACCCAGAAAAGCCAUUCAGUGAUGGGGAUGGAAAGCUGCCGCUUCCCACUGGGCAUGGCAGGAUCACACGGACCGUCUGACAGCCCACGACAGCCUCGGGGUCCUGUAGCCCAUCGCUGGUCCUGGACAGCCAGCAGUGCCGGCUGGCACAGAAGGAGGCCCUUCUCCCAGAUCCUUCAUUCUCCUGAGGGGAUGACGAUUGCAAGACACAGAGCAGGAUGUGCCAUACAGUGAGCCUCUGUGGUGAGUGUCACACUAACAUUUUCCCUAGAAAUCUCCCUGUUUUUUUUUUUCUUUUUCUGGAAAAAAAUUGUUCCUUAUGUUUUUCCUUGGCCUUUCUGGCUUUUGAAAAGUCAUGGCAAAGCAGUUUAUGCCCUGGAGACCCAGAAGUGCUCCCAUAUUCCUGUUGCGGCUGUACUGCUGUCCAGGUGACUCUGACAAGGCACCUUUCUGUUGGCUGCACUGCCUGGCUGCCUCUGCUUCCCUCUCAGCCAUAGCACACCUUUAUUCCUGCUCAUUCGGUGACACUGCUGAAUUUGAUGUGGUUUGCUCAGGUAGAGAUUUACCUUCAGCUUCCACCACCUUCUCUCAUAGUGGCUUCCAAGUGGAGUCAGGGUUUUCUUGCUCACAGCUUUCCUUUCUCUUCUUCAAAUAUAUGUCUACUUCUAACAGUUCUGUUUGGAUUCCCUCCCUUUACACACUUCUACCCCUUUGACAAGGCUCAUUUUUCAGGACAGAGGUUAUAUUUCUCAUCAAAAUGCUGGCAAAGAUAAGGGCCACAUAGGCCCGUGGACCAGCUGAUGGAAAUUCAUCUAAAUCCCACACUGACGGUUCCCCACCAAUAGCCAAGGCUAUGCAGGCAUGGCUGCGAGCCCAUGAUUCAGCAACUUUCACUGAUUAAUCAAGUCACUUCAUUUUUUAUGCAUGCAAGUUUGCCCAAGGCAGCUGUGUUCAGUCGCUUUCUCGUCAGAAUGUUAGCAGUGCUGCGGAUGUCACAGGGUUUGUGAUAUUGAUAUAAAUACAUAUAGAUAUGCGUAGGUUUCUGAUUAGGUUGAGAUUUUGAAUACUCUUUAGUGGCGUUUGUUCAGUUGAUAGAAUCCCUUCUGCACAUUUACAUGCACGUUGUACCUCUGAUGCUGCAGUUCUUAAUUACCGAUACGCUUUAUCUGAGCAAAACAUGUAACAGGCCCCUUAGCAUAAAUUAUACUUGUGUGUGUGCUGAGAGCCCUUCCCAGGUGUGAGGGAAUAAACACAUUACAGAGCACACACACCUCAGAAUGAGUUUAGGGAAUCUUCUCACUUCCUGAAAAAUUCUGCUGCGUCCCUUAGGAACACCAAUGUGGAGCACAUGGCGGCUGGGGCAGAGGGGAAGCUGUGCCCUGUGUUUCCUGCAUGACCUCAUGGGUUGCUGGGGAUGUGGUGCAGAUUUCUAGAUGCUGACGGGUUUGGUAGCAUUGUAUUUGUGUGCCUUGAGGCAGCCCUUGUACUGAGCAGCGAGGCACGUUUUGCUGGCAGCCUCGGCCCACAGAAGUCAUAGCUUUCCUUGGCUAUGAAUAGUGAUUCAGCUUGGUGCCAUAUUCCAACCUCUGCCCCUUGCCUCAGGACAGGACAGGCAGGAGCUCAGGACAUGAGACUCGAUAUUGUGUGACUCUGCCAGGUGUAAAAUUAAGAGCACACCUGAAAUUAGUGUGUUAAAAAAUGAGGAGGGAAUAUUAGCAUAUGAACACCAGGCUUCAGUGGAGUCAAAGGGAUACAACAGAUAUUUGUGUGUUGGAUUUUUUUUAUGGCAGCAGUAUUUGUUGAUGUUUAUUUUUCUUCUCUUCAGUAGAACUGUGUUUGUUAAUAAUUCUAAUAAUAAAGCAUCCACAACUAUUGUGAGAUUUGCCAAAUUUUCAAAAUAGCGGCAAAAUGGAAGAGAAAAAAAGGAUUUCUGUCUUUUUUCUUCUUUCUUUUUCUUUUUUAACUCUCCCUAACCCCACAGCACCAGGUGCGACGUGGCAGCACCUCCACAGUGACUGCAGCCACCGGGAGUUCAAACACACCCAUUGGCUUCGCAUUGUCAGUUGCAACAAUUAUUGCAAAUGAACAGACAUCACAAACAAAACAGAAACCCAACCCUGUGAGAACCUACUCACAGAUGGACAAAUUUGUUAUUGUUUUCAUGAUCUUUUGCAAUGUGUUUGCAGGUUUCUACAGCCUUGUUUAAAUUCAAGCAAGGACCUUUUUGCACCAACUUUGCAGGAUUUCAUUUGUGAGUUGCACAUUUAAUUCUCCACAGCAGAUGGUGAUGUGUGGGUGUACUGCUGUAUAUUUGCAACAGAUUCCUUAUCCUACAAAAUUAAUUAAGUGUCUCAUGUGCUGAUUUAAAAUCAGAAUUGCAUUGUUUGUAAAAAAGCUAACUCUUGCAUAUCAUUUUGCUGGGACCGGUGCAACUCAAGCACAGUGUAAGGAAGAGAAGGCUCAGUGCUCCUCUACAGCACACGGCAGCACUGCCAGUCCUGCGUGCAGUCUAAGAGCCUGAGAUCUCCAUGUUAGUGUUACUGAAGUGAAUGUCCUUAUUUGAUAGCCUGGUGGGGUCUGAAAGGGCACCGUGGUCUGUGCAGCUGCUGCUGGGAGGAAUCCUGGCUCCUUGCGGCCCUUGGUGCAACGCUGAUGGCUCCUGGGGUGGAAUCCUGCACCCAGCACACGGUGUGGUUUAGGUCUGAGGGACAGAGAAGGAGGCGUUCUUGUGCUGGUUAUACCUGGGAGCAAGCAGCAGGAGCGGGGGCAAGGCUGGUGGUCCCACUGCUGUGAUGUGAGGAGGGCACUUGGCUGGGGAGCGGCUCAGGUAGCAGACGGGGGAUUUUGAUCUUUUGCUACUUCAAUGGGAAAUAAUUUGUAGCCUCUUAACAUUUAAAAUUGGAGUGAAAUUUAAUACAAAAUAGUUUAAGCUCUUUAAAAUGUGCUGGCUCUGUUUACAAAUGUGAUACAAGCUUGUAGAUGGCAAAAUGUCAAGCUUUGUGUGAAAAGUAGCUGCUUAUGUGUGCGUGUUCACAUCCUCUUCCCGGUUAUUUCUGCUGAAAGGGUAUUUCAGAAAAUUGCUAAUAUGAUCAUAGAUGAACCUGUCUGACAUCAGCUGUGGUUGGUUUAAGUUAUUGGGCCUUUGUGUCUGUCCCUCUGGUUGCCUUCCUUCCUACAGCCCUUCCCGGUGCAUUUACAGGGAACCGGCUUUCUGAAAGGCGGGAUAUGGGAACAGGAGCUCCAGCAGCUCCGUGACACCUCAGUGGGGUCAGUCUCUGCUCCCUGCACGCAGUGUUUCUGCUGAUGGCCUCAGCUGUGCCUGUCACACAGCUCCCGUGGGACUCAUGCGGUGGCAGUGACCCCUCACCACCCCUGGGAUCACAGUGACUGCUCAGCAUUGGGCAGGGGCUGCGGGGGCUGCGCGCCCUGCGAGGUGUGUGUGGAUUUUGCUUUUUGGUUCCUUCCAGCAGCUCUUGUUUUGCCCACUGCAGAACCUACUGAAGCUCGGCUGCAUUGUCUCCAUCACUUCUGGGUUUCAGAAGUCAGUCAGUUAUUUUUAGACUAGAAAUACUGGAUUAGCCUGAGACGGCAAAGCUUUUGUAAUGUUCUGGAUUUGAUCUUUCAUUCUGCUCCCAAUGAACAAUGAACUACUGCUGUGCAGUGAGCCUGGGCUUUGGGCUCCUCAGGGCAGGGAACGAAUCUGCCCUGUCCUCCCUUGCUGACCUGGCUGUACCUCACCUCAUCGCGGCCACUGAAGGGGAUGUGCAAGGUGGCAGAGCGCUGUCCUGCAAAAGGGGACAGUCCCUGGGGCCUUUCUGUCUCUCCUGCCCCCAGAGCUGAGCCAAGUGCUCAGUAACACCUGGGUGAGGCAGGGUGCACCCAGCCCCCAUGCAGUGCCAAUGGAAGCCAUUGAUGGUAACAGGGACCGAGUCUCCAUGUGACAGACCCGCUGCCGUAGUACUGGAAGCCAGGCUUCUACAGCAGAAACUCAGGAGCAGCUCAGGGCCCUCCCACCACCAGCCCCUGCCCACCCUCACCCCCAUCCCAUUCAGCCCAAGCACAGCACUAAGGGAGCACACUCCAACCCCCCAGGUGAUUUUCCAUUUGUGCAGCAGGCUUGCUAAUUGCACAGUGAUUACCCUUUCAUGAAAGGAAUAUAAAACUUGAUUACUUCGAGUGAGUGGUGGGGAGCAGUGGUUCUGAGCAGAGCCUGUGUUUCAGUAGGAAUUUCUUAAUCUGCUCACGCAGAAGGGGUGCAGGCAAAGGCAGCACCUGUACCCCCUUUUCUUUUAUCCAGCACUCAGGUGUGCUGCUCUCAUAAAGCAGGUCAGGAUUUUACAUACCACAGCCAUGACACCAACAGAGGCUUUUUGCUUUUGUUAAAUGGGCAUGUGAGCCUUUGUACAGCUCACGUAAGUGUGUUUAUGAGUGCAGUACAUAACGGGGAAUAUGGGUACAUUACAUCAACAAGAUGCUGAAGAACAGCAGCUGAGCCUAAAGUGAACUUCAGGAAAUUAGGCCCUUUCGUAGUCAACAGCAAAGCCCCCAGAGCACAGACAGGCUGCCUUAACCAGCCCACCCCAUGGUGCCUGCUCACUGCUGGUCUGGCCAUGUGAAAUGAGUUAAAAAAAAAAAUCAGGUGAGGGGAACAGAUGGUGUGGUGUACCUGGUGGCAUUCCAUUACAGGCACUACUGCCUGGGUGUUUUUUUCUAAGUAAGUUCAGAUAAAAAGAACUGGACUGGUGCAUCUUAAAACCCUAAAGUGUAAGUCUGCAUAGAUCUAGAGAUGGGUAGAUUGAUGGAAGGCAUGCUUGAAGACCAAGUCUUUAAACAGAGCCAUUGCUUCCUGUAUUUUACACCAUAGAAGGGGCAAAUUGAUUUAAGGAUGAAUAAAGCAAGCCGUAUAUUUAAGAACCAACUCAUGCUGGGGCCUGAAAUUAAUUAUUAUAAUCAACAGGGUAACUUAAUCUCACAAAAACACGAGUUUAUUAAUAGGUGAAGGAGCUGAAAAAUUGCACAGUCCAUCCAGCCCACUGAUAUUUUUCCUAAUCUGUUACGAGAUUCAAUGCUGCAGUUUUACAAGGUACACAUUCUCAAUUAGUGAAUGUUACAGAACAUAAACAUGAAGUGAAUAUUUGCAUUAAUGGGAUUCAAACAAGUCAACUGAAAUAUCAACUGUUAUAACAUGGUGAAAAGAAUUAAAUUGGGAAUGUGGUCACACACUGUUGUACAGCAGGUAUGUACACUGUUUCAUAUCGCGUGACAUUCACAGCAUGGUCAUAGAAAAGUCAAACUAAAUGACUUAGAAAAUAUUAAUGCUGAAAUUCUCAUUACUUUUGUUUAAAGUUGAUAUUGACUGAGUUAAUAUUUUCACUGUGUAAAAACAUCGUAUAUGGUAGAAACCCUUCAGCAUCUCCCACAUUCAAAUAAAGGUAUUGAAUCACAGUUACAAUUUGGUCUUUGGUGUCAAACAUCUUAAAUGGCAGAUUCCUUCUCGCCUUCAGAAGGAGAAAAAACGAGUAAUGAAUAUUCUUAGUCUGGUUCAACCAAGACAUUCGUCUCCGAGACCUUGCUUCUGAGAUCAGACUAACAUCUCCCUCAUUGAAGGUGUGGCUGGGAUCACUACAACAUCUGAACACGGUUAAAAAGGUGGAAAGUCCAUAGCCAUUCUACACACUUUCAUUUAUUGUCUGGACAAUUAAAGUA
Long non-coding RNA from Gallus gallus (chicken), 8174 nucleotides. RefSeq lists it as uncharacterized. The record is from RefSeq and is a predicted model, not a curated record. Lineage: Eukaryota; Metazoa; Chordata; Aves; Galliformes; Phasianidae. The transcript is spliced from 6 exons.